AUUGAACGCUGGCGGCAUGCUUUACACAUGCAAGUCGAACGGUAACAGGCCUUCGGGUGCUGACGAGUGGCGAACGGGGGAGUAAUGCAUCGGAACGUACCCAGAGGUGGGGGAUAACGCAGCGAAAGCUGUGCUAAUACCGCAUGUGAUCUGAGGAUGAAAGCGGGGGACCGAGCAGCAAUGUUUGGCCUCGCGCCUUUGGAGCGGCCGAUGUCGGAUUAGCUAGUUGGUGGGGUAAAGACCUACCAAGGCGACGAUCCGUAGCUGGUCUGAGAGGACGACCCGCCACACUGGGACUGAGACACGGCCCAGACUCCUACGGGAGGCAGCAGUGGGGAAUUUUGGACAAUGGGCGCAAGCCUGAUCCAGCAAUGCCGCGUGCGGGAAGAAGGCCUUCGGGUUGUAAACCGCUUUUGGCAGGAACGAAACGGUGUCCGCUAAUACCGGGCGCUAAUGACGGUACCUGCAGAAUAAGCACCGGCUAACUACGUG
RNAcentral lists this ribosomal RNA (492 nucleotides) under uncultured bacterium. RNAcentral describes it as "partial 16S ribosomal RNA". It matches the Rfam family "Bacterial small subunit ribosomal RNA", at positions 29 to 507 of the family's 1533-position model. The record is from RNAcentral.